GUGGUUCCCUGAUGGUUAGU
This 20-nucleotide non-coding RNA is filed under the name Rattus norvegicus (Norway rat). The record is from RNAcentral. Lineage: Eukaryota; Metazoa; Chordata; Mammalia; Rodentia; Muridae.